GAUUUCAUCAGAGAAGGUACGCGGAGCAUUUUGGAAGUUCCACAAUGUCUUAGAGCCACGGGUUUUGUGCAAAUCAAACUAUUAAGAGCAAAGUUUGUGUCGCCAAGAAAGUUGCAUGCAAGAAUCUUUCCUCUGAGUUCACAGAGUGGGGUUGAAACCCACUGCUGCAGAGGCAAGGAGGGAAGGAAGGAAGGAAAUCCCAGGCUGGUGAGUAGUUUCUCUGCCCCAGCGUGAGUCCCAAAUUACAGCGAAUGGGCUCAAGUUCCUCACUGUCUGUUUCUGCUCCGCUGUGGAAAAAAUAUGUGUAUUUCCUAAUACGGAUACCCCACAAGGAGACCAUGUCCUUUAUGGAAUUCAAUACGUGGCUCUUACUGUCUUUUCAGGUCCUCAUAAAACACUUGCCUUUACACCAUACCUUUACRCCACUCUGCAGAGAUGUCCUCUGUCCUGAUCCACCUGCUUUGUGUCCUGAAUCUGCUCUCCCCAACUGAUAUGAAGAGCAUGGUCAUUUAUGUCUUCCUAGACCAAUGUGAAAUUAAGCCCUCAGAGAACAGAGGUUUCUCAGCCACAACAAUGGUCUUUGCCUGGCAGAUUAUUUUUUUUCCUCUAAUGCCCUACUUGGCCUUCUGUUCAUGGUAAAAGUUCAUCAGGUUAUGCAAUUCCAAGAGGGGUUAAUGGAUCCGUUGUGAUAAGUUAUCUCUGUGGGGUUCUUGAAAUCAGCAAGGUGAGGCUCUCGGCGGUGAGGUUCAUCAACAAGGUGUACACCAGUUUGCAUUUGGAUUAGUUCUUACCAGAGAAUCUACCUGGAGAAUACCCUACCAUAAGACCCUUUUAGUGUCUGGUUAGAUACCUGCAAGGGUCUCCCCUGAAGAAGGAAAAGUUGCCUCAUUCAUCUUUAGGAACAUUCCAAGAAGUUCAGGACCUAAGUGCAAACCAACUUGAUCCCAACCCCAAAAUUUCUAGAUGAUUUGGAURUCCUGCAGGACAAAGGUAGGGUGCUGUGCUGUGUGUAAAAUGAUCCUUGGGAGGUGGACACGCUGAGUGUGACUGAGACUUUCCUGACAGCCUCAGCUUUAGCUGCACAGUACAGAGCAAAGAGCUGCCUGUCAGGUGACAGGGCUCCAUCUCAASGAGGGGAAGAUGAGGUGAACUGGAGCCCAGCUGCAUUUAGUGAGGGCUGGAUCAUCCUGCUAGACUCUGUCUGCACCUCACUGCAAGCUCUGGGUAUCUGCAGGUAUUUACCUGGGGCCACCUCCACGCCUCCCUGAUGUACCCAUGUACCACUGUCCUGCUGCAGGAGAAGCUCCUCUCUCCUCUCCYCACACCAGCCAUGCUUAAGCACACGCUGUGUUUGUAGGAUAAACAUGCCAGCUGCAUGUCUGAGCUACAGCCAUGGUUUUAUUGUAUUUCUGACAAUAGAGGGGCAAACGCGUGAAGAGAGAUGGAAAUGGGGUGAGUGGAGAAGAGUGUGAUGUGGCAGAGGACUUUCAGAGACUUCCUUAUUUCCAGCCCCACACUCGCACUCCCUGAAGAGGCUCUGCUGCCCAGUGGCUGAUUGCCAUCCCUUMGCUCCUGUGCUCCAAGUCCUGCUCUUCCACGAUUCCUCCCAGUCCAUCAUCAGCGGGGAGUUUUAAGGCACAGUUUGCUCAUCUGCUCUGGGCUCAGAGCACAGACAGUUUGCUCAUGUGCUGUGGCAGCAGAAUAACGCGUGCCCCGAGCUGUGCAUGAUGCCCAGGGACAGGAGCAAGUGCAGGAGCCUCGCUGGCAGGAGCACACGAGCCCGAUACCUGAUAGCCUGCAACGACAACUGUGAGAGAAGGAUUGAUGGGCUCAGCACGGUUCACAGGACSGGCAGUUUGGGCAGGAGAAGGACUUGUGCUUCUAGGAACAGGCAGGUGAAGUGCUUCAUCACCCACCGGGCAAGCCAGCCACCCCUGCACCCCUGCCCUGCCACRGGCACUAAUCAGGGUAACAGGCAARAGGCACCUCAYUUCCAGCUUCACUGCUGGUCUGGUCCUCACAAAACUGGCCAAUGUGCUUGKCAGGAACUGGAGAGGGGCUGAGGGGUUUGCAACUCCUUCCCCUACACCUUAAGUGACAGCAAAUAUCACGAACACCUUUUACAUGUCAGAAUUCUUAAGUCCCGUAUCUGCUCAAGCUCCCAACCCUGCUGUUAUAGUGCCUUUGCAGAUUUYAUAUUAAAUCCCAGAAAACAGAUAGGGAAAURCAUUCCCCUCCCCCUCUUUACAUCYGAGUUGCCAACUAAAAAAAGAACUUAUUUCGUAGAAGCUAGAAAUGUUAGCGGGUCUUCAGUUGAUAAUGAAAAUCCUUUAGAGAACAAAGGAAGCCGAAUAAUGGAGCCUGGAGCCUGUCACAUGUAAUUCUUGUUAGUAACAAUUUCUCUGAGCUGUUCAGGGAAGCGCAGCACUCAAUUUCAGAGCUUAAAUGACUUAACCAGACUUUUUACGAGGACAGGGUAUCUAGCAACCCUGACUGCAAAACAAKGCGAGUUUCUAGAGGCAGAGCGUGUGCUGCCAGUUGUUGUCCAUCAGUAACAGCUCAGGAGCUUUUAUAAAAUGCAGAUGUGAUCUCAGUUCUUUCUCUAGGAAACAAAAACAAUGAAGUUUCAGCCUGGCCUGACUAGCAAGUAAUGAGUGCUGCCAUCCUAUCAACAAAAGUUUGCCUUCUCUAGCGAAGCUCUUAAAUCACACAAAAACACCUUCAGAAGCAGCUGAGAUUAUCACAAUAAUCAUCACAUAAAUAUCCCAAUAUGCUUCUUGAGGAUGCCUGAUGAAAUGAGUGGGACAUCUGUGAGAUUCCUUCAUCCAGUGACCAAGGGAUUCCUCAUAUGGAAGCGUUUGUGAUCUUUUCCCUUUGGUGAUGUUUGUUGCACAAUGAGGCUGGUCACUGCCAGGAUAACAGCCUGGGCUUUGCUGGGAAAUGUGAUAUAAUAGGCAUUCCUUGCUGUUUUUAUGCAAACACCUUUUUUUCCCUGGCUCCCACUGGUGCGUGUAAACCACUUGGCAAACAAUGAAACACUURAGCGACGUGCUCUCUUUUUAUUUCAAUAACUUCUGUGUCUGCUAAGGACUGGUGCUUGGUAAAUUCUUCUUUGAAAGACCAAAGAUUGCUUUCAAGACUUAUAGCAGUGGCAGUGAUGGGAGUAUGAUAUAUGCACRUUUUUAGUGAAACUCUUCACUGCAAAUCCUGCAAAGCAGUGUUUGACCUCCCAAGGCCCUGYCUGGCCCCACUUUUCCAG
Long non-coding RNA from Malurus melanocephalus (red-backed fairy wren), 3259 nucleotides. RefSeq lists it as uncharacterized. The record is from RefSeq and is a predicted model, not a curated record. NCBI's taxonomy places the organism in Eukaryota, Metazoa, Chordata, Aves, Passeriformes, Maluridae. The transcript has 3 exons.